AUAUUUUUGCAACACAUGGAGUGUUUACAGUUCAUCUAAUACAUCAAUGUCCACAUCUGUAUGCUCAUCAUUUAGUCUCUUUAUAUUAUGAGUCUCAGCUACUGUUGCAUGCUUGAGUGUAUUAUACAUUAAACAGAAUUAUAAUUAUGUUGCAUGCAGUUUGUCCUACUAUAGGUAUCUGAAGUACAAGGCUUGCAUGCUCAGUGUUGUUGUUAUCUAAUUGAACUCAAUUUCUUUAAUGCAUGCAACAGCUGAAAAUCAUACCUCACCAUGCUGAGUGAAACAUUGUGUUGCAUGUUCUGUUAAUAGUAUGUAGAUCACAGGAUUGAAAUAACAUGUAUUAGUGAUGGGCCUGAAUCCAAUCCCCUGAUACUAAUCCCCUCCCUGAACUUCCUGGGGCUGAACAAUUUGAAACUAGAUCCUGACUGAAACUUUUUAGAUGGAGCCUACCUUUACAAGGAACUAAAUCAAAAGUUUAAGUGUGCACUUUUUCUCCCAUGUUUCAGAACUGGCCUCAGGUCCACCAUUAAUUUAUGUGGAUGCUCACUAGAUGCAGUAUUUCUUUAAACUGUAUUUAUCUUCUUUGCAGAAACUCAUUAUCAACAAGGAUCCCCAAGAGAAAGCCAUUGGAAGAGAAGAAUGGUUCCAUUAUAGCUUAUGAAGAAAGUUAGAUCCAUCACAUUUAAAGAAGCUUGUUUGCAAGAAACAAUGCGUGAAGCUGAAAGGAAGAGAAAGAGGAAUGGCUUUCUCUCUCACCAUAUAAGUUUACUACAACCUGGCUACCAGACCUGUUAUUGCAGGCUUAUUCUACAAACCCUCCCUUCUUCAUGCUUUCCGUGACCUGUGCAGGCAGGCUAGUUUACAUUCUUCUGGUUCAACUCCACUGUAAGCAUUGCCUACCAUGCCAUUUUUCUGAGUCGGCUCACCUCCAUGUGACUGCCUCCAGGGGCUCACUCUGCCAGUCAUAUCCCUAGGACCAUUCCCACCUGCCCAACACUACUUCUUUUCACCAGCCUUUGAGCAUUGUGUUCUCUACUCUCCAUUCUGUUUUCAUGAGCUACUUUUUUAACCCCCAGCCUUACCAGGCCAAUUUACUUUGCCCCUCAGCCUUUAAAGUGUCACUACAUGUAGUAUGUACGAGCUAGCCUUUUUGGCUUCUUAACUGCUUGUGUUGUAAAUGAACAAACACUAUUCUGAGUAUUAAAUGUAUUUGUGAAAACUUA
This is a long non-coding RNA of Gavialis gangeticus (Gharial), 1223 nucleotides long. RefSeq lists it as uncharacterized. Lineage: Eukaryota; Metazoa; Chordata; Crocodylia; Gavialidae. The record is from RefSeq and is a predicted model, not a curated record. The transcript is spliced from 2 exons.